This is a non-coding RNA of Megalopta genalis, 848 nucleotides long. The record is from RefSeq and is a predicted model, not a curated record. NCBI's taxonomy places the organism in Eukaryota, Metazoa, Arthropoda, Insecta, Hymenoptera, Halictidae.
CGUCGAAAUGAAACACUUGAUCGAAUGUGAAACUGUUAUAGUAAAUUUGUUACUACGUAUAUGGUGCAUAAACAAGUUCCAGUGAUGUACCUUUUUAUCGGACAAUGUACUGAUGUGUAAAUAAUAGUACAACCAGUCUUGAAUAUUUCAAGAAUUUUUGUCGCCACGCUUUAAGAACAACCCCAACGAGGUCUCUAUGUAAAUAGUGCUGAAACUGUUAACGUAGAUAGGAAUGUGUUGUUCAAAAUGAUGACCUUAACAACAUAUUUCAAGGUCAUUGAAAUCUGUGUUGAAGACCCUAUUCCUUAUAAUUACCAAAUAUUGAACGUUUAUUUUUUACUCGUGACGGUGUCCCUUUAAAUGUUGAAGUUCAAACUACAGGAUGUUCUCGGGUUAAAUCGACAAACUUUAUGUAUAAAUUUACAACUCAAAGAGAAACAAAUUUUUCCUAUGAAAGAACUCUCCUUCAAGAGAUAUGCUUACUUCAAAUGACCUCAGGAACUCCUCAUUUCCCGAAAGUACCAUAAUUUUGAAACACUGCAUAUACGCAUGCAUACCGGAUUUAGAAUCAAGCUUAGGUAGUUAAUUCUGAGCUCCCAUGUAUUUUCGGGAAACCGGUUAGGUUCCACAUAACCACUUCAUACUGAAUCUCAUUUAUUCAAUUCACAACUUUUGAGAUUCCAGUUGCUAUUAUUAUUUUCACUAUGGUGCACGUUUGCCUCUCGAAAGAAACAAUUUUUUCAAGUCACGAGGUUGACAUAAUAACUAUACCUUCCAUCCCUUGUAAGUGUCGGCGGUGAAACAAACGUCGGCUCGUCUACAACUAAUAAACUCUCACAAAAACCAAA